GACGAACGCUGGCGGCGUGCUUAACACAUGCAAGUCGAACGGAAAGGCCCCUUUGGGGGUACUCGAGUGGCGAACGGGUGAGUAACACGUGAGUAACCUGCCCUUGACUUCUGGAUAACUUCAGGAAACUGGGGCUAAUACCGGAUAGGAAUCCUUGCUGCAUGGUGGGGGUUGGAAAGCUUCGGCGGUUUUGGAUGGACUCGCGGCUUAUCAGCUUGUUGGUGGGGUAGUGGCUUACCAAGGCUUUGACGGGUAGCCGGCCUGAGAGGGCGACCGGCCACAUUGGGACUGAGAUACGGCCCAGACUCCUACGGGAGGCAGCAGUGGGGAAUAUUGCACAAUGGGCGGAAGCCUGAUGCAGCAACGCCGCGUGCGGGAUGACGGCCUUCGGGUUGUAAACCGAUUUCAGCAGGGGCGAAGCUUGUGGUGACGGUACCUGCAGAAGAAGCACCGGCUAACUACGUG
Molecule: ribosomal RNA, 465 nt
Filed under: uncultured bacterium
Lineage: Bacteria
Description: partial 16S ribosomal RNA
Rfam family: Bacterial small subunit ribosomal RNA
Source: RNAcentral